Molecule: long non-coding RNA, 2079 nt
Filed under: Homo sapiens (human)
Lineage: Eukaryota; Metazoa; Chordata; Mammalia; Primates; Hominidae
Description: STAU2 antisense RNA 1 (STAU2-AS1)
Source: RNAcentral
ACAUAAUUAUAUUCCUAUUGUCAUGUUGGGUCGAGCAGUUAGACCAUGUAGUGUUUUCUCAUUGCACAAUGUUUGCAAAUCAAUAAGGAGAAAGCCUGAACAAUGCGAUGACGUUGGCCAGGAACCCGGCCCGAGUCACCCAGGAGGCGGCUCUGCAGUUUCUCAGGAGGACACAUUUGGACCUGACCUUCACCACUGGUCAUGUGAGAAAGCCUCUAUACCUGGUUCCUCAACGUCUCCGUUUAGAAGACUGCAUCAGCAAAACCAUCCUACCAUGGGAAUUAACUGAUGGAUGUGUCUGGACUUCCCAGGGGGUUCUCCAUGGACAGUAUUGUGCUGUUAAAGACGAGGAGACGGAGACCUAGAGGAAGUCAUUUGUACAAGGCCAUAUGGCUUGCUCCUGAUAGAUCUGGAAUUUGGACUCAGGCAGCCUGGUUCUGGAGCUGAAUUCUGAACUACCUAUAUCAUCCCACCUCAGUCCAGUGAGAGAACGUGUCACCUGAGUGCUCAAGAUACAUCAAGAGCCCGACCAUGUCCUGGAGCCUCUUAAGAGCGAAGCUCAGGGUGCAGGACCUGAGAGGGUGUUAAUCAGCCGCUUCCAUUUUUUUCUUAAUAUGGGAAGACCAGAUUUUGCUUGGCUUCUGGAAACCGCUGCCAUCUUGCUUUUCCUCCUACUUCAGCUCUUGGUCUCCUGUGCAGCUGGCUUUUCCUUCUUCCUGACUUUUCAAGCCCAUCCUUGGACCUCUUAUCUUCUCCAUCAAAAUUCUCUCCCUGGAUGAUUUCACUGAGGCCGAUGGCUUAAAUCCCUUAGAAAUACUGAUAGCUCCAAAUCCCUAUCUUUAGCCUGGCCUCCUGCCCUAGAAUUCACUUGUCUAAGUGCCUAGUGGAUUUCUCCACUUAGAUGUCUCAUAAGCAUUUCAAACCUGCCCAAAACGAAACUUGAUUACCAUCCCCAAACCACUCUUCCCUAAGAAAAUGGUGUCCCCGUUCCACCAGUUGCUCAGGCAAAAACCCUAGCAAUCAGCCUCACUUGCUUUCAUUCUCUCUCAUCUCCCACAUCAAACCCAUUAGCAAAUUCUGUUGGUUCUUUUUUGAAAUGUACUCGGAGGCUACUUCUCACCACAUGCUCUGCUAUGGUUCUAGCCCAAGCCACUGUCAGUCUCUCCCAGAGACACAAGCUGUACCUUCCUAACUCGCACCCCUGUGUGCAUCCCUGUGUGCAUCCCUGCUCACCCAAAGCCAACCCUUUGCAUAUAACCAGAGUGAUUUUUUUGAAAUGUAAAUAAGAACCGGUCACCACCCUAUUCAAAUCCUCCAGGGGCUUCUCAUUUCUCUUAGAACAAAACCCAGACUCCUGACUACAGCCCCAAAGCCCUACAUGAUCCUGCCCCAUUUACAGCUCCAGGCUCAUUACCUACCUCGUGCUCCCAGCCCACGGAUCAUCGCCUACCACAUGCUCCCAGCCCCCGGAUCUCCAGCACAUCAGCCUCUUGGCUCUUCUUAGAACUCCCUGAAUUCACUCCUGUCUCAAGGACUUUCCUGUGCUUUUCCUUAGACAGGAGACACCCCUCCCAGUUCACAUGGCUCACUCGCUUCAUCCAGGUCUCUUCUCCAGUGUCCCCUCCUUGUGACCCCUGGAUCUAAAGGAGUUGAACCACCCCACUCCUACCCUUAUAUUCUCAUAGCUCCUCACGCUGCCUCACUUUUAGCAAGAUUUCAUUAAAAUUUUAUUGCUGUCUAAAAUUCUAUUAUAUAUUUAACCAUUUACUUGUUUAGUAUCUGUGUCUUCCAUUAGCAAGUAAGUUCUGGCCAGGCGUGGUGGCUCACACCUGUAAUCCCAGCACUUUGGGAGGCUGAGGCAGGCAGAUCACCUGAGGUCAGGAGUUUGAGACCAGCCUGGUCAACGUGGUGAAACCCUGUCUCUACUAAAAAUACAAAAAUUUGCCGGGUGUGGUGGCAUGCACCUGUAAUCUCAGCUACUCGGGAGGCUGAGGCAGGAGAAUCGCUUGAACCUGGGAGGUGGAGGCUGCAGUGAGCCAAAAGAAAGAAAGAAAGUAAGUUCCAUGAAAAAAAAAAAAA